CAGCCUUCUGAAAGGAAGAUUAAUCCAGGAUGGGAUCAUGAGUUCACAUGUCCGCAUGAUUAAAGGUAUUUCCGGUAGACGAUGGGGAUGCGUUCCAUUAGAUAGUAGGCGGGGUAACGGCCCACCUAGUCAACGAUGGAUAGGGGUUCUGAGAGGAAGGUCCCCCACAUUGGAACUGAGACACGGUCCAAACUCCUACGGGAGGCAGCAGUGAGGAAUAUUGGUCAAUGGGCGAUGGCCUGAACCAGCCAAGUAGCGUGAAGGAUGACUGCCCUAUGGGUUGUAAACUUCUUUUAUAAAGGAAUAAAGUCGGGUAUGCAUACCCGUUUGCAUGUACUUUAUGAAUAAGGAUCGGCUAACUCCGUGCCAGCAGCCGCGGUAAUACGGAGGAUCCGAGCGUUAUCCGGAUUUAUUGGGUUUAAAGGGAGCGUAGAUGGAUGUUUAAGUCAGUUGUGAAAGUUUGCGGCUCAACCGUAAAAUUGCAGUUGAUACUGGAUGUCUUGAGUGCAGUUGAGGCAGGCGGAAUUCGUGGUGUAGCGGUGAAAUGCUUAGAUAUCACGAAGAACUCCGAUUGCGAAGGCAGCCUGCUAAGCUGCAACUGACAUUGAGGCUCGAAAGUGUGGGUAUCAAACAGGAUUAGAUACCCUGGUAGUCCACACGGU
Molecule: ribosomal RNA, 662 nt
Filed under: uncultured bacterium
Lineage: Bacteria
Description: bacterial SSU rRNA
Rfam family: Bacterial small subunit ribosomal RNA
Source: RNAcentral